Long non-coding RNA from Pan troglodytes (chimpanzee), 887 nucleotides. RefSeq lists it as uncharacterized. NCBI's taxonomy places the organism in Eukaryota, Metazoa, Chordata, Mammalia, Primates, Hominidae. The transcript has 4 exons. The record is from RefSeq and is a predicted model, not a curated record.
UGGUGAAACCCUGUCUCUACUAAAAAUACAAAAAUUAGCUGGGCAUGGUGGCAGGCACGUGUAAUCCCAGCUACUCGAGUAGCCACUGGUACCCAUGCCACUGUACUCCAGCCUGGGGACAGAGCGAGACUCUGUCUCAAAAAAAUAAAAAAGAAGGCAAAACAAUUACAAGACAUAUUAAGAGAGUGUGAUAAGAUAUAGGAUGCUACAUAGAUACACAAAAAACAAUAGCUUUUUUCUUUUCUUUUUUUUUUUUUUUUGUCACCUAGGCUGGAGUACAGUGGCGCAAUCUCGGCUCACUGCAACCUCUGCCUCCCGGGUUCAAGUGAUUCUCAUGCUUCAGCCUCCUGAGUAGCUGGGACUACAGUGGAAUGGAAUCAAAUGGGCAUCUUGAGAGCAGGAAACCUCCUUGUUGCCAUUGUAUCCCUAGAGCCUCACAUAGGCUUCAGGAGUGUUGACCAUGAUCCUUAUAAUAGGUGAGGAAAGAUGUCACCUUUCUGCCCCCUGUAGUUUCUGGCACCCAAAGUAGGGGUGGCUGAGACACCUAAUUUGCUCUGGAACCUGCAGAAUAGAUCCUGGGACAACUGACAAACAGCCGGCAAAGAAAAGCUCCUGUCUCCUCCAUUUGUUGAUCGGUGGAUGGAAAAUUACUAAAAGGAAACAUGAGAGGUAAGAAGAAUUCAGGUUUCUAUGGCCAAACUUUAGUCAGGCUUCUGAACCUUCUCCAAGGCCCAUCUCUGUACUUCCUUGUAAAAUCCUAUAGUAAAUUCCUAUAAGUCUAUGUUGCCUUGACAUCCAUUUUGAAUCCUCCUCUGGUCUCACCUAACUGACACACCCAAACCUCACUCUCCUCCUGGUCUGGGCUCUCAUAAAGAGUGGCUUUUUUG